This is a long non-coding RNA of Fundulus heteroclitus (mummichog), 2592 nucleotides long. RefSeq lists it as uncharacterized. The transcript is spliced from 5 exons. The record is from RefSeq and is a predicted model, not a curated record. NCBI's taxonomy places the organism in Eukaryota, Metazoa, Chordata, Actinopteri, Cyprinodontiformes, Fundulidae.
CUGGAGAUAACUGUGAGAGCAGGAAGCUGUGGUGUGGUUGACACACUGACUUAUAACGACCACCCCCCACCCCCAGUGGGUGAAAGGUCUCUCUGUCAGUACAGCAGCUCAGGAUGGAGAUAAUGGUGCUCUGCGCUGUGGUGGGUUGCCUCAGAGUCCUUCCCAGCAGAUCCCAGUUCUUCCAGUAUGAGCCUGUUACUCUGAGCUGUGAGGGAAACUCGUCUGAGUGGAGAGUCCUAAGAAACACAUCAAGACAAAGAAACGAACUCUGUCCUUCCCCAUCCCAGAGAAAUGCCUCUAUGUGCUUCUUUCCUGAGCUGUAUGAAGUAGACUCUGGAGUUUACUGGUGUGAAUCUGCAGCAGGAGAACGCAGCAAUCAAGUCAACAUCACUGUUACAGAAGGACCGUUGAUCCUGGAGAGUCCUGGACAUCCAGUGAGGGAAGGGGAACACGUGACUCUUCACUGCAGAGCCUUAUCGUUUGUCUCCAAUCCUACUCAUUUCUAUAAAAAUGGCGUCCUCGCUGGGACCAGCUCUACGGGAAACUUUUCCAUCCGACGUGUUUCUAGAUCUGAUGAAGGACUCUACAAGUGCAACGUCUCUGGAGUCGGAGAAUCCACAGAAAUAUGGCUGGCUGUCAGAGGGCACAGUCCUCAAACGCCUACUGCUCCCCUCACACACGUUCUACUUUCUCUUGUGGCCGGCUGUUUGUGGUCGAUCUAGCUGAUGUUGCUCUGCCUCUGGAGAAACCACAAAGGUACAACUGGUCUGCCCUUCUGUUAGCUGUGGCAUCAUACAGGAGAGACAGAUCAUCAUUCACCUGUUUCUUCACAGCAUUUCGCCAGCUUCAACUUCUGAGUUUAAUUCUCGCGUUCUACAGCACCGGAGCUCCGAGGAUGAUACACGCAGUGUGUCCUUAUGUCACAGCCCAAGAACUUACCCACAUCAGUCACGGCCUCAUUGACAGAAUGGAAUUCAUUGUCACUGGAAAUCCAAGCUGGAAUCCCCUAACGAGGAAUGAUCUCAAUAAAAUAGGCUUUUGUGACAGCAUGGCUGUCAGCCUUUUUAGAAACAAAAGCCUCAGUCCAUUUACCGUACAUAGCCACAAUAACAAGGACAAACUUCUUACCUUCAGAAGGAUUCAGUUCAAUGUCCAUCAUUAUGUGGUCAAAUGGUUUGACCUAGAGUCCUCUGAGGGGCACGCUGUGCAUUAAAUGAACAGCAGAUCAUGCGUGACUGCUUUCAUUUUAUAAUUGGUGAGACAGCUUCUCUGAAAUGUCCAGAAGAUGGCGAUAUAUUUUCCAUCAACAGCCUUACAUCAGACAAGAAAUUUAAUACAUUAUUACCUGUGUUUUUGGAUGCUUUCCAAACAGUUUUGAGAGAUCCUAGAGCUGUGGGUAGAUAGUCAGAUUAUUUUUAAUUUUUAAGGUUUUAAUCAGUCCUGUCAUGAAAGUCAAGAAUGCUUUACUGUCAGAGCCUGACCCUUAGGGGCUGAUUUAAAAAAACAAAUGGGAAGAGUGACAAAUCUAAAUAUGGAGCUAAUUUAAUAUUCAAUAAAUAACUAAAGUUAAGCUAAAUUUAUUCAUGCCUCUGGCAGGUUCAAAUUUAAAAUCAUUUCAUAAUUUUCCCAAUGUGGUUCUUCUGAUCAAAAAUAAUACUAAUGUUUAAAAGUGGCCCAGUCAGAAUGCUGACUUUAAUCUUAUAGAGAAUCUGAGGAAGGAGGAAAUGAUUAGGGUUAUGACAUAUAGACGUUCUGAACUCAAGGAUAUGAAGUUCUUAACAGAAGAUAAAUAACCAAAAUGUUCUUGAAAACGUCAGCAGGGAUUGAUUGCUAUAAUCCCUAUAAAGAUUUUUCCACUGAUUAUUGGGAAGUACACAUUAUUUUUGGAAUGCUAUUUGUUGAUAAAAGGCACUUCAGACAAAUGUUAUAGUAAAAUACAAUGCACGCCUACUGUGUAGUAGAGACAAAUGUCCUGGUUCACAAAAUUACCAACUGGAAAUCCUGAAUUAUUUCCCCUUAUAUAACUGUGGAAUCAUAUGUUUAGUCAUAAUAAAUUAAUGUUUCAUUGAAUUAUAUGUGUGAUUGCAACCGAGGUAAGGUUUGCAGUCUUUGUAGUUGAACUUGUGAACUAUAAUCAUGCACUAUGUUUGAGCAUGCUUGGGGAAGGGAGUAAGGUUCUCCUUAAAAAAUCCUGCUUUGUUCUCAAAUGCAGCUGCACUAAUAAAUUCUACAAGGUGUCUAUAACACCUUGUCAGGAACCAGAUAACAGCCCAGGACAAGGGGAGUGUAGGUUGCAUCUGGGAGAUGACUGCAGCUAACGGAUGGUGUUUAGGCACAAAAGCAGAGGUUUGAGAGUAAAGAGACCUGAUCAGCACUAGCACAGUGUUUCCGCAGUAGGCUAUUGCUGUAAGUGUUGAUCUCCAAAAAUAAGAACCAAGCCUGGCUGGCUAAAGUGGCCACCCGAGAGCAGAGUUGGUGGAAAGGUGGAAGCCAGAGCAUACAUACUCACAUACUAAGAAUUAUUAUAAGAAUUAUUAUUCUGAAGUCACUAUGGCCUCACACCACUCGGACAUAGGAGGCCUGGAGACCUGA